Molecule: ribosomal RNA, 565 nt
Filed under: Xylaria sp. OTU61 TS-2013
Lineage: Eukaryota; Fungi; Ascomycota; Sordariomycetes; Xylariales; Xylariaceae
Description: eukaryotic LSU rRNA
Rfam family: Eukaryotic large subunit ribosomal RNA
Source: RNAcentral
AAACCAACAGGGAUUGCCCUAGUAACGGCGAGUGAAGCGGCAACAGCUCAAAUUUGAAAUCUGGCCCUCGGGUCCGAGUUGUAAUUUGUAGAGGAUGCUUUUGGCGCGGUGCCUUCCGAGUUCCCUGGAACGGGACGCCUUAGAGGGUGAGAGCCCCGUACGGUUGGACACCAAGCCUCUGUAAAGCUCCUUCGACGAGUCGAGUAGUUUGGGAAUGCUGCUCUAAAUGGGAGGUAAAUUUCUUCUAAAGCUAAAUAUUGGCCAGAGACCGAUAGCGCACAAGUAGAGUGAUCGAAAGAUGAAAAGCACUUUGAAAAGAGGGUUAAACAGCACGUGAAAUUGUUGAAAGGGAAGCGUUUGCGACCAGACCUUUUCCUGGCGGAUCAUCCGGUGGUUUCCACCGGUGCACUUCGCCAGGUCGAGGCCAGCAUCGGUCUCUGUAGGGGGAUAAAAGCUCGGGGAACGUAGCUCCUCCGGGAGUGUUAUAGCCCUCUGCAUAAUACCCUUACGGGGACCGAGGACCGCGCCUUCGGGCAAGGAUGCUGGCGUAAUGGUUGUCAACGAC